Molecule: ribosomal RNA, 236 nt
Filed under: uncultured Staphylococcus sp.
Lineage: Bacteria; Bacillati; Bacillota; Bacilli; Caryophanales; Staphylococcaceae
Description: partial 16S ribosomal RNA
Rfam family: Bacterial small subunit ribosomal RNA (bases 40-236)
Source: RNAcentral
CGGCCGCGUCGACCAUGAGAAAUAUCACAGUAAUUCGCGGCCGCGUCGACGAUGAGGAGCUUGCUCCUCUGACGUUAGCGGCGGACGGGUGAGUAACACGUGGAUAACCUACCUAUAAGACUGGGAUAACUUCGGGAAACCGGAGCUAAUACCGGAUAAUAUAUUGAACCGCAUGGUUCAAUAGUGAAAGACGGUUUUGCUGUCACUUAUAGAUGGAUCCGCGGUCGACGCGGCCG